This 274-nucleotide ribosomal RNA is filed under the name uncultured bacterium. Its description in RNAcentral is "partial 16S ribosomal RNA". It matches the Rfam family "Bacterial small subunit ribosomal RNA", at positions 523 to 796 of the family's 1533-position model. The record is from RNAcentral.
AUACGGAGGGUGCAAGCGUUAAUCGGAAUUACUGGGCGUAAAGCGCGCGUAGGCGGCUGAUUAAGUCGGAUGUGAAAUCCCUGGGCUCAACCUAGGAACUGCAUCCGAUACUGGUCAGCUAGAGUUUUGGAGAGGUAAGUGGAAUUUCCGGUGUAGCGGUGAAAUGCAUAGAGAUCGGAAGGAACACCAGAGGCGAAGGCGACUUACUGGCCAAAAACUGACGCUGAGGUGCGAAAGCGUGGGUAGCGAACAGGAUUAGAUACCCUAGUAGUCC